Molecule: long non-coding RNA, 1776 nt
Organism: Ostrea edulis (European flat oyster)
Lineage: Eukaryota; Metazoa; Mollusca; Bivalvia; Ostreida; Ostreidae
Exons: 2
Source: RefSeq, a predicted model, not a curated record
UCUUUUUAUGCCUAAAACUACUUUAAAUGUGUUUUAAAUGAAAUAUUUUGCGUAGUUUUCGAGUUUGAAAGCGAUGAAAUUCAAAUCUUGCGAUAUGCAUAUUUUCUUUCGCUAGUUUACGCGCCAUUUUGUGUGACGUCAUAUGUGCCCUCGGGUUUGAAAACAUCUAUUAGCCAUUUCAUAAACAGAUUAGAUUUAAUCGACAAAAAACCUGGAUUGUCACGUUAACGACUUGUAAAUAAUAAUGCAUUAAGAUGUUUUGUGCCGUGCUCGGGUGUACUAGUUGUCGGUAGAAAGGAUUUAGACUGAGUAUUUUUCAAUUUUUCGAAGGAAGGUACGAGAAAAAAGACGUGGAUAAUUUUUUUGUUGGAGCAAGAACUUUACCUUAAAAAACACACCCAGUCACCUUUUCAAACAUCGCUUGGACAGAGACCCUGAUAAACUGCGAGAAAAUGGAUAUAUCGAAGCUAUAAGCACUGAAUCCCUAUGCCAGUGACCAUGACCUUGAAAACCAAAGGGAACCCAAAUCACUUUACAACGCACCAUUCCUGCAUGAUUGAUAAAAUUUAGGUAAGAAAUGUGGCUUAAAUGUUGCUACAGGUUUAACUACUAAUCAUAUGAAAAUGAUGAACAUAUAAAAAUGUACAAAAACAUGAAUGUAUUAAUGAAUUCAUUUAUUUACUAUAUCCCAACAGUCUGUUGAUUCUGGGUAAUUAAUACAGAUUAAUUUGCCUUCAUGCCAGAUUAAUCUCAUUUAAUUGACGGAAGAACUGUUUUCCAAUGUUGGCCGAUCUAAAAAUCGAACGAAUUAAUCAAAACCAAAGCCAUCAUAGUACGAGUUAAUGUGCAGAUAGCACUUCCUUUUCCGUCCCAGACAUGAGCAGAUUAGCACUGAAACAUAGCAGAUGCUCUCUAAGAAUUUUCCCACCCACCACUCCCCUUAUUACAGUAAUCUGCUGUCAGUUUUUGUUUUUCCAGACAUGGAACAAGCACCAACCAAAGGACUGGACGAUAGUCACACCACGAAGAAGAAGGAGCCAAUCCAAGCUGCAGUAUUUUGGACUGUUCAACUAAAAUCAGAGACAGUGCUGGUUUUUAAGAAUUUUAUUAAGAUUUAUAUAGUACUGCCUUCUUAGCAUAAAUACAGCAAAACUCUUGUCGCAUUGUAUUAAAGGGGGGGGGGGGGGGGUCCGUAGGGAUGGAUGGGAGGGUUGUGGGCAUAUCUGGCUCGUUGUUUCCCUGCCCAGCCAUCAUGCAUAGUGGUGGGCGCAAUGUUGGGUAGACAGGUUGUCUACAAAUAUAUGCCAUGUAGAGCAAUGUUAUCAAGUAAAAAAUGUGGGUAGACAGGUUGUCUACAAAUGUAUGCCAUGUAAGGCAAAGUUUUCGAUUGGGGUCAUAGCAAAGCCUGCAGGCUUGGGGCCCUCUCCACCUCUCAUAACAGGAGGGGAGACUUAGUACUGGAGUACUUGGGUAGAGAAGUACUACUGACCAGAAGCAAUCACCGGGAAACAGGGUAUACAGAUGUGCUCUCAACCAUCUCGGACCCAAAUGUCUAGUACCUAAAUUUGGGAUCCUUGGCACCUGCGCCCAACGCAGGGCCACUGGUUUUGUCCGGUACUUAUUAGUCGGUAUACCAGCUAUCCCUUCUGGACCCAGUUUUUUAUUGUAUAUCCCACAAUGCGGCCGUUUUCAAUGCCAAUUCCCAAAUGUCCAUCACAGUUCGGAACAUACGUUGUACCCUUUUGAUUAGUCUUUAAUAAACAUAAUAAACUAUAA